Molecule: ribosomal RNA, 253 nt
Filed under: uncultured bacterium
Lineage: Bacteria
Description: partial 16S ribosomal RNA
Rfam family: Bacterial small subunit ribosomal RNA
Source: RNAcentral
UACAGGGGGUGCAAGCGUUGUUCGGAAUUACUGGGCGUAAAGCGCGCGUAGGCGGCUUUGCAAGUCGGGUGUGAAAUCCCCAGGCUUAACCUGGGAACUGCAUUCGAGACUGCAUUGCUAGAGUAUGGGAGAGGGAAGUGGAAUUUCAGGUGUAGCGGUGAAAUGCGUAGAUAUCUGAAGGAACAUCAGUGGCGAAAGCGACUUCCUGGACCAAUACUGACGCUCAUGUGCGAAAGCGUGGGGAGCAAACAGG